UAAAGGGUAUAAAAAAGGAAUGAAACAGCUAACAGUGUACUUCAAGAAUGAGAAAUCUUGCUGACAAGAAAUAGUACUGCUCCCAGCUGAUCUUCUGGUGAACGAAUCCAUGCCUUGAGAAGCUGACAAGACUGAGAGCACCUCUUUGCCUGUAUUGGACUAUGAGGGCAAGACUGAUGUGAAGAAAAAGAAUCCUAGAAUGUGUGACCACAUACAUUACCUUACAACAGCAUCUGUGAUGUCAUCGAGCUGGUCCUCCCUUCUGGCUGCCUUUCUGGAACACAUCUCUUCCUGGGACAAAGGAUGAAAUAUUAAAUUUACACCUAUGAUUGGUAGAGCAGAAGAACAAGAUCAGAAAGAACCAAUGCUUUCCAAUCUCUGCUCAUAAACUCUCAGCUUUGUAUGCAUUGGAUAAGAGGCUAAUUACACUUUGGUAAGAAGAAGUUGUAUCAUUUCUCUGCUUAGGAAUGUUUUUUCUAAGUAGGAAAAACAAUUAAAAAUCUUUUACAGUUGCUAGAAUACAAGCUGUUACAUCAAGCAGAGGAGUACGUGGGACUACUUUAUCUUCACUUUAGUUUUAGGGACUACAGCAGGAGAUCAAAAUAACACUGGCCAUUUGAUUAUAUGAAAAUUGUCGAGAAAGUUUCCCCCCCUCAAAUUAAAGUCAGCUAAUCUUCUUGUUUCUUUGUUAGUGCUGACAAAACAUGCAGAACUCUUACAUCUUAGUGCAUUUUUUUAUAUGCUGUUAGAUUAAGGGAAAAAACAAAACAAAAGGAUUAUGUACAACAGUAACAGAAUAUACAUAUAAAGAUAACCUUGAGGUAUCGAUAGUUGUAUGCAUAUUUCUGUAGCUUUGACUGAGAAGGGAUUAAAAACAAGAAAGAAAUAUAAAGUAUUGUGAAUCAAAUUUAAAUGUAAAUCCUUUGACUAAAAAAAAUGAAAGGUAGUUGAUUUGUAACCAUUCUUUGUUUCUUGCUAAGAUAAUUUUUCUAUGUGGAAGGAAUAUAUUUUUGACCUUAAAUAGAUUAUAAUAUUUAGAUUAGUUCUAACUUUACUCUUUUUCUUCCCCAUGUCUUUAAAUAAAUUAUUUGCUUUUCUAAGUCUGAUAGAAUGUGAAAUAUGAUUUUAUUUUACAUGUAUGCAGCACACUGGCAUGAUUUUGAGAUUAAAGUUAUUUGAAAAAAGUAGAAGUUUUUCUUUAGGUUCUCCUGAAACAAAUUAAAAUCAUAUGGGCGGGGGUGGGGAAGGAAGCGGGGAAUUUAAUGACAUAUUGAUCAAGGCCAGAGGAGUCCCAAAAGGAAAACUCUCCUUUUAUCUUUUUCCAAUUCCAUGCUUUCUUAGCCUUGUUUAUAAAGUGAUGUUACUGUAUACUCAAUGUUCAUGACACACUUGUUGAACCUCAUAUAGCAUGAACAAUGAAAUGCUGUGAAAAGCAAAAAGGUCAGCAGAGCAGUCCCUCUUCUGUGUCAGCUGAUGUAUUGCUGUGUGCUGUGUGAUUUAAUGAUCUGCUUGCUCAAGUACCAAAUUCUCUCAGGAGCAUUCAGCCAUUUGGAGCUUUCUAUGAACAUUGGAUUUUGAAAAAUGGCAUCACCUGCAGCAGAGUGACACUGUCUUAUUUCCAGGUUACCUAUCCAAAUAAAAAAGAGCAACCCAGAUGCCAGAAAUUGGCUUGAAAAACUUCCAAGUUAUAUGUUAAUGAUCAAACGUGCCAAAACUAAUCUAUAGAAUAUUCACAUGGAAGAAAACAAACACUCAUUUGCACAUUCUCUGUAUAAUAAUCUUCUGUUGGGACUUAAUAAACCUGAAUCCAUGGGCCAAGCACAUUUGGAGUGAAGUUUCACUAACUUGACUAGAUUUACACCAGAAAUAACUUUGAUCUUGAACAUUUCAAGCAGGGUCACCUAUUCUGUUGUUUGAUUGAUCUCUUUGCUAAAUGGAACAAUUUAGCUCUUAGAACAAUUGCUCUGCGGUGCAGAAGAAACAAAGCACCAGUAUCUAUUCUUGAUUACAUUAGUGUAUAUCACAGUAACUCUGAAGAAGCCAGAGAAAAAUCUGAAACAAAGUUCACAGUUUUCUUGACCCUUUUUUAGUCAGCGUGAAAGUGUAGAAUAAUGCUGGUGUCAUGAUAUAGCUCCUUGAUGAUAAUAUAACGUGCCAGGCAGUGGAGAAAAAGCAUACGACUGUAUGCUCUUACAACUUACACCAAUAUUGCAUCAAAACAAUUGGGGUAAAAACCGAUGUUGCCAACCAAAUUGGAUCAAGCUGUGGCAAAAUGUGUCCCGCCACAGCUGAUUUGCCUUAUUGAGUGAAACAUGUCACCAAUUGGGCGGGGGUCUCUUGCAGGACAAUGGAUGAUUUCUUCCCUUUGCCUGGGGAUUUACCAUGUCCCUUGCUAACCUGUACCUCCUUGCCAGGACCAGAGUCCUAUGCCAUCCUGUGUCUCACAUGGAGGCAUAGGUCAGUGCAGGUCUCAGCAUGGGAUGGUGUGAAGGUGUGCAGCAGCAUGGGAGCCAGAGAAUCCCUGACAUCCUCUGCCUCCAUGGUGGGACCUGUGCCAACUCAUGCCCUUGGGUGAAGCCUGUGUACCUCUGUGUGAAGCAUGGGUCUGUGCAUAUUCUGGCAAGGAAGGACAGGGUGGCACAGGACCUGGGGAAUUCUUAGUGCCCAGUGCCUCCAUGCUGGGGUCCACAUGAUUUCUUGCAUGGACUAUGCUGACCCAUGCCUCUCACUAAAGCAUAGGCUGAUGCAGGACCCAGUACGGGUCCCUGUGGAGAGAGGCACAGGGCUGUGCAGGUCCUGGCAUGAGGCAUAGAGCACCAGGUAUUCCCUGGGUCCAAUGCCUCCAUGCUGGGACCCACAUGGGCUUUUCCUACUUAUGGAGACAUGCCCCUCGAGAUCCUGGGAUGUGUCACUGUCAUUGGGGAACCCUGAAUUUCUCUGCUUGGAGAGAGGCACUUGACAUUCCCUGGGGUGCAUUUCUGUAAGCAGGGAAAGCUGGGCAGGGCCUUCAAAGGCUUGAGGGGCUCUAUCUUGUCCAGGAAUUCCUGGAGUGCACAGGACACCUCAAACCCUUCGAGCACCUGCCUAGGAUGGCUGGAGAGUGUGGGCAGAUCUAGGUUGCCUGUACUCUCCCUCCAUAAAGCAAACAGAUAUCAGUCAAAAUAUAGCAGCACUAUUUAACUACCUUUUGUCAUGCCACUGAUGUGGCGUGACAAAGGAUAGGGACAUCUAUUUGAUUGUCAUUUCUGCUGCCAUAAACAUUUUUAUGGCAGAACAAAUGCAACGUUAGGCAACAUCUAUUUCUACCCUCGGGGAUUUUCAUUAACAGAAUGUGUGGCUACCAUAGAGAUGGAAAAACAGUAAGAGCUAUUUUUAAUUGAAUAAAUAUUGCAAUAGCCAUUAAUAGGAUAGUGAGGGAGAAGCUGGCACCCUAGCUACGUGUGAGCAACAGUCAAACUCACUCUGUAGGACUAAUGAUCCAACAGAUUAUUUAUUAUAGAAGUAACUACUUAGGGAGUGAAUCUGCUCUUGAGUCAAGAAAAUCCUUCCUUACUGUUAAUGGAAAUUUUUGCAGGAUUAAGCCCUCAAAUAAUUAAAAAAUUCCUGCAGGGUUCCUAACAAUACAACAAUAACUCUAAAAUGUUCUAAGUCUUUCAGAUCCAUAACUUUUCAAUUUUCUUUGUACCAAUAAGUAUCAGAGAUAUCUGAUUCACAAUUUAGCUGGAUCUCAUACAUCUCUACAUUAUGAAUGUCUGUGUCUUUCACAAAGUAAGAUACAGCCACCAGAUCUUGUUCCUUGCCUUAUAUUCACUACUCUAUACAACUAAAACUACCAAACUAGCUUGUUAAACAUACUUAUUAAUUUACAAUGCUAAAUGAUCAUUACCCUUCCCCAAAGGCUCACAACAUUCUCAGAUUCACUGGAAGUUUUGCAGAGGCAAAAACUGAGAAGGUUGAGGUCCACAUGUGCUUUGUGCCAAUGUUUAAAUUAUAGGUGAAUCUGAAGAAGGCAGCUGUGCUUGACCAUCACUGUGCUCCUACUGUGCUAAGAGCAGAAUUGCAACAGAGCAUGUGUGUGCUUGGCAGGAUUUAACAACGCGUGUUCAAGAGGAUGUGGAAUGGGUUACCAAAGGAGUCUGGGAAUGAAUGGAAAAGCAGGGGCAACAGCAGUAAGUCCCAGCUGCAGUUUGAGAGCAUCUACACACCGUUGCAGCAGUUCAAACCAGUCCCCCCGAAAUCCCUGAUCAUCCCUAUCUAAGUUAGGAUGGCAAGAUGCCUGUAGACUUAUACUGGUGAUUUUGAGAAGAUGCAGUUUCUUAAGAAAAGGAACCUGGGCUUCCUGCUUGGCCCCUUGUCUAAUGAGUAAGAUACAUGCUCUGUAUGGGUAUUAU
Alligator mississippiensis (American alligator) is the source of this 4391-nucleotide long non-coding RNA. RefSeq lists it as uncharacterized. The transcript is spliced from 3 exons. The record is from RefSeq and is a predicted model, not a curated record. Lineage: Eukaryota; Metazoa; Chordata; Crocodylia; Alligatoridae.